This 460-nucleotide unclassified non-coding RNA is filed under the name Aspergillus costiformis. Its description in RNAcentral is "sequence contains ITS1, 5.8S rRNA gene and ITS2". The stretch from base 147 to 300 matches the Rfam family "5.8S ribosomal RNA". Lineage: Eukaryota; Fungi; Ascomycota; Eurotiomycetes; Eurotiales; Aspergillaceae. The record is from RNAcentral.
UACCGAGUGCGGGCCCUCUGGGUCCAACCUCCCAUCCGUGUCUAUCUGUACCCUGUUGCUUCGGCGUGGCCACGGCCCGCCGGAGACUAACAUUUGAACGCUGUCUGAAGUUUGCAGUCUGAGUUUUUAGUUAAACAAUCGUUUAAAACUUUCAACAACGGAUCUCUUGGUUCCGGCAUCGAUGAAGAACGCAGCGAAAUGCGAUAAUUAAUGUGAAUUGCAGAAUUCAGUGAAUCAUCGAGUCUUUGAACGCACAUUGCGCCCCCUGGUAUUCCGGGGGGCAUGCCUGUCCGAGCGUCAUUGCUGCCCUCAAGCACGGCUUGUGUGUUGGGCUUCCGUCCCUGGCAACGGGGACGGGCCCAAAAGGCAGUGGCGGCACCAUGUCUGGUCCUCGAGCGUAUGGGGCUUUGUCACCCGCUCCCGUAGGUCCAGCUGGCAGCUAGCCUCGCAACCAAUCUUU